AUUGAACGCUGGCGGCAUGCUUUACACAUGCAAGUCGAACGGGGUGAGGGGCUUGCUCCUCAUCUAGUGGCGAACGGGUGAGUAAUGCAUCGGAACGUACCUUCAAGUGGGGGAUAACGCACCGAAAGGUGUGCUAAUACCGCAUAUCCUGUGAGCAGGAAAGCAGGGGAUUUUAGGACCUUGUGCUUGGAGAGCGGCCGAUGUUGGAUUAGCUAGUUGGUGGGGUAAAGGCCCCCCAAGGCAACGAUCCGUAGCGGGUUUGAGAGGAUGAUUCGCCACACUGGGAAUGAGACACGGCCCCGACUCCUACGGGAGGCAGCAGUGGGGAAUUUUGGACAAUGGGGGCAACCCUGAUCCAGCCAUGCCGCGUGAGUGAAGAAGGCCUUCGGGUUGUAAAGCUUUUUUGUCCGGGAGCAAAUCCUGGUGGGUAAUACCCGCCGGGGAUGAGAGUACCGGAAGAAUAAGCACCGGCUAACUACGUG
RNAcentral lists this ribosomal RNA (482 nucleotides) under uncultured bacterium. RNAcentral describes it as "bacterial SSU rRNA". It matches the Rfam family "Bacterial small subunit ribosomal RNA", at positions 30 to 507 of the family's 1533-position model. The record is from RNAcentral.